This 813-nucleotide ribosomal RNA is filed under the name Pseudarthrobacter enclensis. RNAcentral describes it as "bacterial SSU rRNA". It matches the Rfam family "Bacterial small subunit ribosomal RNA", at positions 26 to 850 of the family's 1533-position model. The record is from RNAcentral. Lineage: Bacteria; Bacillati; Actinomycetota; Actinomycetes; Micrococcales; Micrococcaceae.
AGGAUGAACGCUGGCGGCGUGCUUAACACAUGCAAGUCGAACGAUGAAGGGAGCUUGCUCCUGGAUUAGUGGCGAACGGGUGAGUAACACGUGAGUAACCUGCCCUUGACUCUGGGAUAAGCCUGGGAAACUGGGUCUAAUACCGGAUAUGACCUUCCAUCGCAUGGUGGUUGGUGGAAAGCUUUUGUGGUUUUGGAUGGACUCGCGGCCUAUCAGCUUGUUGGUGAGGUAAUGGCUUACCAAGGCGACGACGGGUAGCCGGCCUGAGAGGGUGACCGGCCACACUGGGACUGAGACACGGCCCAGACUCCUACGGGAGGCAGCAGUGGGGAAUAUUGCACAAUGGGCGCAAGCCUGAUGCAGCGACGCCGCGUGAGGGAUGACGGCCUUCGGGUUGUAAACCUCUUUCAGUAGGGAAGAAGCCGCAAGGUGACGGUACCUGCAGAAGAAGCGCCGGCUAACUACGUGCCAGCAGCCGCGGUAAUACGUAGGGCGCAAGCGUUAUCCGGAAUUAUUGGGCGUAAAGAGCUCGUAGGCGGUUUGUCGCGUCUGCCGUGAAAGUCCGGGGCUCAACUCCGGAUCUGCGGUGGGUACGGGCAGACUAGAGUGAUGUAGGGGAGACUGGAAUUCCUGGUGUAGCGGUGAAAUGCGCAGAUAUCAGGAGGAACACCGAUGGCGAAGGCAGGUCUCUGGGCAUUAACUGACGCUGAGGAGCGAAAGCAUGGGGAGCGAACAGGAUUAGAUACCCUGGUAGUCCAUGCCGUAAACGUUGGGCACUAGGUGUGGGGGACAUUCCACGUUUUCCGCGCCGUA